UGGGGAAUCUUGGACAAUGGGCGCAAGCCUGAUCCAGCCAUGCCGCGUGGAUGAUGAAGGCCUUAGGGUUGUAAAAUCCUUUCGCCGAGGACGAUAAUGACGGUACUCGGAGAAGAAGCUCCGGCUAACUUCGUGCCAGCAGCCGCGGUAAUACGAAGGGGGCUAGCGUUGUUCGGAUUUACUGGGCGUAAAGCGCGUGUAGGCGGGUCGUUAAGUUGGGGGUGAAAUCCCGAGGCUCAACCUCGGAACUGCCUUCAAAACUGGCGACCUGGACCUAAGUAGAGGCAAGUGGAAUUGCGAGUGUAGAGGUGAAAUUCGUAGAUAUUCGCAGGAACACCAGUGGCGAAGGCGACUUGCUGGACUUAUGGUGACGCUGAGACGCGAAAGCGUGGGGAGCAAACAGGAUUAGAUACCCGAGUAGUCCCUGAGCGGGCUGGCAAGGCGCAU
Molecule: ribosomal RNA, 447 nt
Filed under: uncultured bacterium
Lineage: Bacteria
Description: bacterial SSU rRNA
Rfam family: Bacterial small subunit ribosomal RNA
Source: RNAcentral